This 281-nucleotide long non-coding RNA is filed under the name Elaeis guineensis (African oil palm). Its description in RNAcentral is "long non-coding RNA (EGUI_LNC010112)". Lineage: Eukaryota; Viridiplantae; Streptophyta; Magnoliopsida; Arecales; Arecaceae. The record is from RNAcentral.
CCCCUGAUCCCAACUUAUUUCCCACUACGAUAGUUUGGUUGAGUAGGAUGUCACAUGUUGAAAUCGCAUGUUGGAUAUGCAAGUUAGCCUUGAAAUCGCAUGUCCAACAUGCGAUUUUAGGCUGACCUAGCACCCCACAUUAUCUAAGAGCCAUUUGAAAUUUGAAAUGGAAGCAUUGGAAUUUAAAAUUGGAACCAUAUGAAGUCGCAUGUUCAAGAAAAUGCACCUUGAAUAUGAAACCGCACCUUGAACAUGCGCUUUUAUGUCUCUUCUCAACCACC